RNAcentral lists this unclassified non-coding RNA (343 nucleotides) under uncultured Inocybe. RNAcentral's name for it is "sequence contains ITS1". The stretch from base 1 to 105 matches the Rfam family "5.8S ribosomal RNA", at positions 50 to 154 of the family's 154-position model. Lineage: Eukaryota; Fungi; Basidiomycota; Agaricomycetes; Agaricales; Cortinariaceae. The record is from RNAcentral.
GAAAUGCGAUAAGUAAUGUGAAUUGCAGAAUUCAGUGAAUCAUCGAAUCUUUGAACGCAUCUUGCGCUCCUUGGUAUUCCGAGGAGCAUGCCUGUUUGAGUGUCAUUUUGAACUCUCAAAUCACGUUCGAUUCAUUUGGGACGUGGCUUUGGACUUGGGGGCUGCGGGCUUUUUCUCGAAAGGUCUGCUCCUCUGAAAUGCAUCAGUGGUAUCUGGAGCGGAAACCGCUAGGCGUGAUAACAUCACCUUUGCCUUUGGUAUGCCGCGCAUUGUGCUGCUUCCAACACACAACGAUCUUGACAAACUUGACCUCAAAUCAGGUAGGACUACCCGCUGAACUUAA